GGCUGGUCUGAAGGUAGUGAGUUAUUCAUUGCUCAAAAUUAUUAGACUCCUGUUCUAUAGUUUCCUGUCUCACUACUGCACCUGACCUACUUUAA
RNAcentral lists this Y RNA (95 nucleotides) under Neotoma lepida (desert woodrat). It matches the Rfam family "Y RNA". Rfam says of the family: Y RNAs are components of the Ro ribonucleoprotein particle (Ro RNP), in association with Ro60 and La proteins. The Y RNAs and Ro60 and La proteins are well conserved, but the function of the Ro RNP is not known. The record is from Rfam by way of RNAcentral. Lineage: Eukaryota; Metazoa; Chordata; Mammalia; Rodentia; Cricetidae.